AGGGAUGUAGCUCAAUGGCAAAGCAUUUGCCUAGCAUGCAUAAAGCCCUGGGUUUGAUCCUCAGGAUCACAA
Molecule: transfer RNA, 72 nt
Filed under: Marmota marmota marmota (Alpine marmot)
Lineage: Eukaryota; Metazoa; Chordata; Mammalia; Rodentia; Sciuridae
Also listed under: 1 other name
Rfam family: tRNA
About the family: Transfer RNA (tRNA) molecules are approximately 80 nucleotides in length. Their secondary structure includes four short double-helical elements and three loops (D, anti-codon, and T loops).
Source: Rfam by way of RNAcentral